Molecule: long non-coding RNA, 1518 nt
Organism: Mastomys coucha (southern multimammate mouse)
Lineage: Eukaryota; Metazoa; Chordata; Mammalia; Rodentia; Muridae
Exons: 5
Source: RefSeq, a predicted model, not a curated record
CCUGUCCGGCUACGGGAACUCCAUCUUCUUCCCUAACUUGUGACUCUUGGGACAUCUCCUCCCUGUCACUAUAUGGGCCUCUCCUGGUCUCUAGUGCAGCUCAUCUGUUUAUAACAGUUUGAAGGCUCACUCAACACAUCUUAAAAGCUUGGCCUCCAAAGACUCUCCAAAGAGGAAGACUCAGUACGGAGGUGAGCCUUGAAGGAUUCAUUGAUUUCACAGGUGGCUGAAGAUGUCAAAAACUUUUUUUCAAAUAGUACUGGCCAUUUAGAUUUCUUCUGAGACCUGCCAGCCUAUUCCAUUGGCUCACUUCUGCAUUGUAUAUACUUGUGCAGAAAAUUUUCCAUAAAGAAGUAAACAACUGGAGAAGAUAACCAGAUGCGAAUGGUUAUCUGGACCUCACUCCACCAAUGACGUCAAAAAUAGUUUAAAGAGACAGCAAGCUGACAUCUCCGCCCUGGUAGCAAUGGCUGCCUGAAGUCAUCCUCCGAGCCAAAAUCCUCAGACUGAGCUUCCCAGACUCUGCCACAAUGACCAGAGACCAUCCGAGACCACUCGAGACUCCGUGGGCAAGCAACCUUCGUUGUCAAGCAUUCUUCGUAGCCAAGCAUUCUUUGUGGUCAAGCAUUCUUCGUGGUCAAGCAUUCUUCGUGGCCAAGCAUUCUUCGUGGUCAAGCAUUCUUCGUGGUCAAGCAUUCUUCGUGGUCAAGCAUUCUUCGUGGCCAAGCAUUCUUCGUGGCCAAGCAUUCUUCGUGGUCAAGCAUUCUUCGUGGUCAAGCAUAACCCUCCAGCUGAGAGAUAGCUGAGCCAGCUCCCCACCAGCUAGAGCUACUGCUGCUUUUGCUUUUGGAAAUUCAGCACCUUGCCAUUUAAGUAUGCUCCCUCAGAGACUGAAGACAAAGUCAAGAAAAGCUCUACCAACACUUGUGAAAAUUGGCUCAUCGUGUCCACCAUAAUGUCAUCUGUACCCGAUAAGCACAUUCGAGCAAGAACACUUCUGUCUGGUGCAGUAGUCAUGUGUGGAGUUAGUCUGUGCCAGGGACAUGGCAGUUGACAUUGCUCUGUCUUUCAUGGGAAGGGCUGAGUACAGUACUUGUGUGGGAAGAGAAAAGAGUCAAGGGAGGUGAGGGGAGGAGUAAGAGGCAGAUCAGUAUUAUGAGUCCAUCCAGUUUUACCAGGGCGCAAUGGCAAUGACUAGAUGCCCAGAAGAGGCCUUUGGAAGAGAGUCUUAUAUGCCAAGUUGAGAGAGUCACUUGGUCAGAAAGAAGCAAUGUCAGCUUUUAAAUGGUGCAAAGAAGAGAGUCAGGUAUGAAGGACUGUCUUAAUCCCUGUUCUAUAGCUGUGAAGAGACAUCAUGAUGAAGGCACCUCUUACAAAGAAAGAAUUGAAUUGGGGCUUGCUUACAGUUCCAGAAGGUUUUAGGUUUCCAUAUAUGUAAAGGGACACCAUGACCAAGGCAAGUCUUAUAAAGGACAAUAUUUAAUUGGGACUGGAAUAUAGAUUCUGAGGUUCAGUCCA